Molecule: ribosomal RNA, 466 nt
Filed under: uncultured bacterium
Lineage: Bacteria
Description: partial 16S ribosomal RNA
Rfam family: Bacterial small subunit ribosomal RNA
Source: RNAcentral
CUACGGGAGGCAGCAGUGGGGAAUAUUGGACAAUGGGGGAAACCCUGAUCCAGCAAUGCCGCGUGUGUGAAGAAGGCCUGCGGGUUGUAAAGCACUUUCGGUUGGGAGGACUGCUUCUAGCACUAAUAUUGUUGGAAGUUGACGUUACCUUCAGAAGAAGCACCGGCUAACUCCGUGCCAGCAGCCGCGGCAAUACGGAGGGGUGCAAGCGUUAAUCGGAAUUACUGGGCGUAAAGCGCGCGUAGGCGGCUAGAUCAGUCGGGUGUGAAAGCCCCGGGCUUAACCUGGGGACUGCAUCCUAAACUGUCUAGCUUGAGUACAGGAGAGGAGAGUUGAAUUCCACAUGUAGCGGUGAAAUGCGUAGAUAUGUGGAGGAACACCAAUGGCGAAGGCAGCUCUCUGGCCUGAUACUGACGCUGAGGUGCGAAAGCGUGGGGAGCAAACAGGAUUAGAUACCCCUGUAGUC